This 322-nucleotide long non-coding RNA is filed under the name Cucumis sativus (cucumber). Its description in RNAcentral is "long non-coding RNA (CSAT_LNC002493)". The record is from RNAcentral. Lineage: Eukaryota; Viridiplantae; Streptophyta; Magnoliopsida; Cucurbitales; Cucurbitaceae.
AAGGGCAGGAAAAUCAAGACGUCAAUGGAAACGAAGAAAGCAAAGUGCAGGAAAAUCAAGAUGUAAAUGGAAACGAAGAAAGCAAAGGACAGGAAAAUGAAGACAUGAAUGGGAACGAAGAAAGCAAAGGGAAAGAAAAUCAAGACGUGAAUGGAAACGAAGAAAGCAAAGGGCAGGAAAAUCAAGACCAAAAUGGAAAUGAAGAAAGCAAAAUACAGGAAAAUCAAGACGUGAAUGGAAACGAAGAAAGCAAAGGGCAGGAAAAUCAAGAUCAAAAUGGAAACGAAGAAAGCAAAGUACAAGAAAAUCAAGACGUUAAUGG